UAAAUACUAAUAGGCUAACGAUGCUUAUGACACGAUGCUAUUGCGGUUUCCAUUUCGAAUGACAUACUCGUAUUACGAAUAAUAUUUAGACGUGAUGUGUGAGAGAGAGCAAAUUUGCAUUCCGAUAAUAGUCAAUUAGAACAUUCCGUUUAUUAUCUCACUUGUUUUUGUCCUCGAAAUUAAACUCCACCCUCCAGAACGCGUUUUCAUGCUGAAUGUUCCGUCUAGAUGUACAAGUCUACGCUUACGAUGGAGGAAAACUGCAAUAUUAUCUCACGCGGGAGACAAACAGAAAAAACAAUACUCUUGAUGUAGAAGCUAAGUAGCUCUUAAAACAUAAAAUGCUAUACCGUAAUUUUACAAUAUUUAUUCGUACCGACCAUGUAAUCCUACUAGAUACACAGAACAGAAACAGUCGUUUCUCUCCCCGGCGGACGAUGUGCGUAAUUUAACGAACUUGAAAAUAACGUUAUAUCCAACUUUAUAAGUUAACCUAAUUAUUAUAAUGUGAUGAGAAACUCCGUUCCCGUGCACAUCUCGCACCCCGGAGACUAAUUUUCGACCAGGGGCGGUAUUGUUUAUAAUAACAUACGAUAUGUGAUGUGUGUAGUCAUAUAUUUUAUCGCGCGCGUUCCGUCGUAGUGCGGUUAUCUGCAGCGAAAUAUCAACAACGAUUUUGUUCCACCUCGCGACUUUGCGACGCGAU
Non-coding RNA from Cinara cedri, 706 nucleotides. Lineage: Eukaryota; Metazoa; Arthropoda; Insecta; Hemiptera; Aphididae. The record is from the annotation of a GenBank genome assembly.